UACUGGCAUUUGCUGACAAAGCUUUGCAUAA
Molecule: non-coding RNA, 31 nt
Filed under: Rattus norvegicus (Norway rat)
Lineage: Eukaryota; Metazoa; Chordata; Mammalia; Rodentia; Muridae
Source: RNAcentral